This 377-nucleotide unclassified non-coding RNA is filed under the name uncultured Gammaproteobacteria bacterium. RNAcentral describes it as "contains 16S-23S intergenic spacer region". The record is from RNAcentral. Lineage: Bacteria; Pseudomonadati; Pseudomonadota; Gammaproteobacteria.
UCCGGUUUGUCACCGGCAGUCUGCCUAGAGUCCCCAACUAAAUGAUGGCAACUAGGCACAAGGGUUGCGCUCGUUACGGGACUUAACCCAACAUCUCACGACACGAGCUGACGACAGCCAUGCAGCACCUGUCUCUCGGUUCCCGAAGGCACUUCCGCAUCUCUGCAGAAUUCCAAGGAUGUCAAGGGUAGGUAAGGUUUUUCGCGUUGCAUCGAAUUAAACCACAUGCUCCACCGCUUGUGCGGGCCCCCGUCAAUUUCUUUGAGUUUUAGCCUUGCGGCCGUAUUCCCCAGGCGGAGUACUUAAUGCGUUUGCUCCACUACUGAAAGGUCUUUCCCUCCCAACAGCUAGUACUCAUCGUUUACAGCGUGGACUAC